RNAcentral lists this ribosomal RNA (497 nucleotides) under uncultured bacterium. RNAcentral's name for it is "partial 16S ribosomal RNA". It matches the Rfam family "Bacterial small subunit ribosomal RNA", at positions 28 to 507 of the family's 1533-position model. The record is from RNAcentral.
GACGAACGCUGGCGGCGUGCCUAAUACAUGCAAGUAGAACGCUGAAGAGAGGAGCUUGCUCUUCUUGGAUGAGUUGCGAACGGGUGAGUAACGCGUAGGUAACCUGCCUUGUAGCGGGGGAUAACUAUUGGAAACGAUAGCUAAUACCGCAUAACAAUGGAUGACACAUGUCAUUUAUUUGAAAGGGGCAAUUGCUCCACUACAAGAUGGACCUGCGUUGUAUUAGCUAGUAGGUGAGGUAAUGGCUCACCUAGGCGACGAUACAUAGCCGACCUGAGAGGGGGAUCGGCCAAACUGGGAAUGAGACACGGCCCAGGCUCCUAAGGGAGGCAGCAGUAGGGAAUCUUCGGCCAUGGGGGCAACCCUGACCGAGCAACGCCGCGUGAGUGAAGAAGGUUUUCGGAUCGUAAAGCUCUGUUGUAAGUCAAGAACGGGUGUGAGAGUGGAAAGUUCACACUGUGACGGUAGCUUACCAGAAAGGGACGGCUAACUACGUG